UUCCAUUCAGAAAUUGACCAUACUUUUUAUUUAGACUUAACAAAAAUAUAAACACAACAUGUAAAAAGUUGGUUUCAUGUUUCAUGAGCUGAAAUAAAAAAUCCUAGACAUUUUCCUUACAUAAAAAAAGCUUAUUUCUCUCAACUUUUGUGCACAAAUUUGUUAAUAUCCCUGUUAGUGAGAAUUUCUCCUUUGCCAAGAUAAUCCAUCCACAAGACAGGUGUGGCAUAUCAAGAAGCUGAUUAAACAGCAUAAUCAUUACAUAGGUGCACCUUGCACUGGGGACAACAAAAGGCCAUUCUAAAUUGUGCAGUUUUGUCACACAACACAAUUCCACAAUUCAAGUUUUGAGGGAGCGUGCAGUCGGCAUGCUGAUUGCAGCAAUGUCCACCAGAGCUGCUAUCAGUUCAUUGAAUGUUAAUUUCUCUAGCAUACGUCGUUUUAGAGAAUUUGGCAGUAUGUCCAACAGGCCUCACUACCGCAGACCACGUGUUACCUCGCCAGUCCAGCAAAUUCGCACAGCCAUUGAAGAGGAGUGGGACAACAUUCCACAGCCCACAAUCAACAGCCUGAUUAACUCUAUGCGAAGGAGAUGUGUGGCGCUGCAUGAGGAAAAUGGUGGUCACAACAGAUAUUGACUGGUUUUCUGAUCCACGCCCCUACCUUUAAAAAAAAAGAUAACUGUGACCAACAGAUGCACAUCUGUAUUUCCAGUCAUGUGAAAUCCAUAGAUUAGGGCCUGUUAGGUUCUGAAUAUUAUGCAGAAACACAGGAGGUUCCUCUUACUGGUAUGGUCAUGGCCCUGCCUAAGUCUAUGACCCUCAUGGGCGUGGAAAUGUGUGUGUGUGUGAGAGAUAGGACUAUAAUCAGAUGGCCUUUGGGGUGAGCUCCUGUGGCCCCCCUCCCAGCAGUGUCUUCUCUCUUCAAAUGUUGACCUUAUCUUGAGUAGAGUUCCACAUCCCUCAUGGUCCUAGUUCCUCAGCAACUGGUCUGCCUUAUCAAGGACUGAAACUAGACUCUUGGCUUUUGUCUCCCUCCUUAGGAACAUUCAUAUUCUACAGUAAUACAUUUGAACAAAUUAUGAAAUUUCUGCACAUUCCCUUUUCUCACUCAGUCACUUUCCACACAACAAGUUCCUCUUUACCCUUCCUUGACCCCCAACAUACACAUUUCUUAUAGAUGAAAACAGGGUUGGGGAGUAACGGAUUACAUGUAAUCGGUUACAUGUAGGGGAUUACAAAAACCCGGUAACUGUAAUCCGUUACGUUACCAGCAAAAAUAUUGUGGUCAGAUUACAGAUACUUUUGAAAAACUAGAUGAUUACUUUGAGGAUUACUUUUAAAUUCAGAAAGGAUGUUGAGAAAAAAAACUUUGACACUUCUCUGUUUUCUCAAUGACAUUCAACUCAGCAUUGAAAAAAGGCACAAGUUUAAGUUUGUUCCACCUGAGCAAGUCUGACCACAAGUCAGAGACCACUAUGAUGACACACUAAAUGUGUUUGAUGGAUCGCGGGAAAAGAGCAGGAAUAGGCUUUUGUAGGCUACAGUCCAAGCUACAGUGCCUUGCAAAAGUAUUCGCCCCCCUUGAACUUUGCGACCUUUUGCCACAUUUCAGGCUUCAAACAUAAAGAUAUAAAACUGUAUUUUUUUGUGAAGAAUCAACAAGUGGGACACAAUCAUGAAGUGGAA
Molecule: long non-coding RNA, 1688 nt
Organism: Oncorhynchus tshawytscha (Chinook salmon)
Lineage: Eukaryota; Metazoa; Chordata; Actinopteri; Salmoniformes; Salmonidae
Source: Ensembl